AGACAAYUUUUAACGGUGGAUCUCUUGGCUCGUGCAUCGAUGAARAACGCASCCRGGUGCGAUAAGUAGUGUGAAUUGCAGAAUUCAGUGAAUCAUCGAAUCUUUGAACGCAAAUGGCGCUCUUGGGUUCUCCCAGGAGCAUGUCUGUCUGAGUGUCGGUAUCCAACUCAUCGCGCGCCACCGUCGUCCGGUGGGUCUGCGCGGCGUUGAGGGCAUCUCGG
This 221-nucleotide ribosomal RNA is filed under the name Antipathozoanthus cavernus. RNAcentral's name for it is "5.8S ribosomal RNA". The stretch from base 5 to 158 matches the Rfam family "5.8S ribosomal RNA". From Rfam's summary of the family: 5.8S ribosomal RNA (5.8S rRNA) is a component of the large subunit of the eukaryotic ribosome. It is transcribed by RNA polymerase I as part of the 45S precursor that also contains 18S and 28S rRNA. The record is from RNAcentral. Lineage: Eukaryota; Metazoa; Cnidaria; Anthozoa; Zoantharia; Parazoanthidae.